Molecule: long non-coding RNA, 1216 nt
Organism: Melospiza melodia melodia
Lineage: Eukaryota; Metazoa; Chordata; Aves; Passeriformes; Passerellidae
Exons: 3
Source: RefSeq, a predicted model, not a curated record
AGCUCUUGAUGAGGCACUGAAACCAGUACCAACGCUGCAUCUUCCUUCCUGCUGGAGAAGAUGGGUGUUUGAUAAGCACGAAGCUUUACACAGGCAGCUACAGCUAUAAACUGCUGUUGGUUACUGAGGAACAAUAACAGACUGCCAGAAGAAGUCUGGGAGCUCAGCCAUAGGAAAAAUGGAGGAGUAUACCCCACCAUCAGGAAAGCAAAUUCUUUAGAUGAAGUGUUAUGAAUGGAAGAUGAAAUGGCACAUGCUGAACACCUCCAGCACCCUCUACUGCUCCUCACGGGAUCUGUGCUCCAGACCCUUCACCAGUUCUGUUCUACUCGCUCCAGCGCCUUGAUGUCUUUCUUGUCAUGAAGGGCCCAGAACUGAAGACAGGACUCGAGAUGUGGCUUCACCAUUGCCCAGUGCAGUGGAACUGUGCUUUGUAUUUGCAUUUUUUACUUACCACAUGUAUAUAACAUACCACGUGUAUGUUACCACAUGUGGUUUCUGGGCUUGCAAACUGUUUCUGCCACAUUUCAGAGUGUGAGCCAAAAAUGCUACUGCUUUGUCUUGCCUUCAAAGUUCAGCAUUAGGAUUUAAGGAAACAACAGCAGAGUAUGUAGCAUAUAAAAUGUUUUGGUAGCUAUUGAAACUAAAGCAAGAAAUAGAAAAUUAAAGUGAUGAAAUGCAAAGAAUCCAAAAAUGCACCAAAUCCUUGCUGAGAGAUAAAGACUGCUUCCACCUGAGUUUCAGAUAGUCAUAUGUUUGUCUGAAAAAUGGAUGUGAAUAAUGAGACCUUGUUUAUCUUCUGUAGGCCAUAAGCAUCUUUCCUGUUAGUAGCACUGCAGAAGCUGUUCCAGCCACUGUGCAGGUUUGUGGAAAUUGUGUGUGGGUUGUGUGUGCACACAUACACGAUGAUGCAGGUUUGCUAUGGUAUGGUAGGUAUUGGUCUUUGAAUUUAUAUUGGGUGAAGGCAACAAUUGUCUUUUGCGUUCACUGCUAUUUUUUGCCAAUAUUUAAAAAUUCAGAAAACCCUAGCAUUUCACCACUGUCUGUAGAAUUGGGGCAGCAUAUUAGCUAUGAAAAAUAAAAGACACAGAAAAAAAUCUUGUGAAAUCACUCCUUUGAAGCCGAAAUAAAAACAUUGUUAUGCCCAGAGAUUAAUUAUGAAUAAUCGGAUUCUGACUUUAAUCUGUUCAGUUAAGGGGGGAAGCAUAGAUGAGUU